UUACGGCCACAUCAUGUUGAAAAACCGGUUCCCGUAUGAUCACCAAAGUUAAGGAACGUUCAGUACAUAGAUGGGUGACCACUUGGGAGUACCAGGUGCUGUAAG
Non-coding RNA from Acanthosepion pharaonis, 105 nucleotides. NCBI's taxonomy places the organism in Eukaryota, Metazoa, Mollusca, Cephalopoda, Sepiida, Sepiidae. The record is from the annotation of a GenBank genome assembly.